GAUGAACGCUGGCGGCGUGCCUAAUACAUGCAAGUCGAGCGAACGGACGAGAAGCUUGCUUCUCUGAUGUUAGCGGCGGACGGGUGAGUAACACGUGGAUAACCUACCUAUAAGACUGGGAUAACUUCGGGAAACCGGAGCUAAUACCGGAUAAUAUUUUGAACCGCAUGGUUCAAAAGUGAAAGACGGUCUUGCUGUCACUUAUAGAUGGAUCCGCGCUGCAUUAGCUAGUUGGUAAGGUAACGGCUUACCAAGGCAACGAUGCAUAACCAACCUGAGAGGGUGCUCUGCCACACUGGAACUGAGACACCGUCCAGACUCCUACGGGAGGCAGCAGUAGGGAAUCUUCCGCAAUGGGCGAAAGCCUGACGGAGCAACGCCGCGUGAGUGAGGAAGGUCUUCGGAUCGUAGAACUCUGUGAUUAGGGAAGAACAUAUGUGUAAGUAACUGUGCACAUCUUGACGGUACCUAACCAGAAAGCCACGGCUAACUACGUG
This 497-nucleotide ribosomal RNA is filed under the name uncultured bacterium. Its description in RNAcentral is "partial 16S ribosomal RNA". It matches the Rfam family "Bacterial small subunit ribosomal RNA", at positions 28 to 507 of the family's 1533-position model. The record is from RNAcentral.